CUACAAUCCUGGGGGAGCCGGUUAACGGCUGAGAUUCCGCAUGCAAUGCGGUAACCCUUCGAACCUGAUCCGGGUAAUGCCGGCGAAGGGAAGGAAAGCGCCGCUUUA
This 108-nucleotide non-coding RNA is filed under the name Marinobacter antarcticus. RNAcentral's name for it is "TPP sequence". It matches the Rfam family "TPP riboswitch aptamer (THI element)". From Rfam's summary of the family: Vitamin B(1) in its active form thiamin pyrophosphate (TPP) is an essential coenzyme that is synthesised by coupling of pyrimidine and thiazole moieties in bacteria. The previously detected thiamin-regulatory element, thi box was extended, resulting in a new, highly conserved RNA secondary structure, the THI element, which is widely distributed in eubacteria and also occurs in some archaea. Lineage: Bacteria; Pseudomonadati; Pseudomonadota; Gammaproteobacteria; Pseudomonadales; Marinobacteraceae. The record is from Rfam by way of RNAcentral.